Molecule: long non-coding RNA, 237 nt
Organism: Lytechinus pictus (painted urchin)
Lineage: Eukaryota; Metazoa; Echinodermata; Echinoidea; Temnopleuroida; Toxopneustidae
Exons: 3
Source: RefSeq, a predicted model, not a curated record
GCGAACGAACCCUGAUAGCCUUUCCCGACAUAUCAAGACAACUAUUCGGCCUCCUCGUGAGUCAUGUAUCGCCAAACCAAAAACACAACUCCAUGGAGGUGAGGUACCAGCUACUGAUGAUUUUGCUAUCAACAUAGAAAACGGCGCAGGAGAUCCAAAAUCCGUAAUAAAGAAUCCCCGGCGAACGAACCGUGAUAGCCUUUCCCGACAAAUCAAGACAGCUAUUCGUCCUACAAG